GGACCUGACUGCUAUCGGAUUGAUACUAAGCCAUGCGAGUCAUUGUAGCAAUACAAGGCAUACGGCUCAGUAACGCGUAGUCAACCUAACCUAUGGACGGGAAUAACCUCGGGAAACUGAGAAUAAUGCCCGAUAGAACAUUAUGCCUGGAAUGGUUUAUGUUCCAAAUGAUUUAUCGCCGUAGGAUGGGACCGCGGCCUAUCAGUUUGUUGGUGAGGUAAUGGCCCACCAAGACUAUUACAGGUACGGGCUCUGAGAGGAGUAGCCCGGAGAUGGGUACUGAGACACGGACCCAGGCCCUAUGGGGCGCAGCAGGCGAGAAAACUUUGCAAUGUGCGAAAGCACGACAAGGUUAAUCCGAGUGGUUUCUGCUAAAGAAACCUUUUGUCAGUCCUGGAAACACUGAUGAAUAAGGGGUGGGCAAGUUCUGGUGUCAGCC
Molecule: ribosomal RNA, 439 nt
Filed under: uncultured archaeon
Lineage: Archaea
Description: bacterial SSU rRNA
Rfam family: Archaeal small subunit ribosomal RNA
Source: RNAcentral